UACGUAGGGGGCAAGCGUUAUCCGGAUUUACUGGGUGUAAAGGGAGCGCAGGCGGCGCGGCAAGUCUGAUGUGAAAGCCCGGGGCCCAACCCCGGGACUGCACUGGAAACUGCCGUGCUGGAGUGUCGGAGGGGUAAGCGGAAUUCCUGGUGUAGCGGUGAAAUGCGUAGAUAUCAGGAGGAACACCGGUGGCGAAGGCGGCUUACUGGACGAUGACUGACGCUGAGGCUCGAAAGCGUGGGGAGCAAACAGG
Molecule: ribosomal RNA, 253 nt
Filed under: uncultured bacterium
Lineage: Bacteria
Description: partial 16S ribosomal RNA
Rfam family: Bacterial small subunit ribosomal RNA
Source: RNAcentral